Molecule: microRNA precursor, 76 nt
Organism: Lepisosteus oculatus (spotted gar)
Lineage: Eukaryota; Metazoa; Chordata; Actinopteri; Semionotiformes; Lepisosteidae
Rfam family: mir-216 microRNA precursor family
Source: Rfam
GUCUGGCGUAAUCUCAGCUGGCAACUGUGAGCAGUUAAUAGCUCCUCUCAUGGUGGCCGCUGGGAUUAUGCUAAAC